GGUCAUGGCUCAGUGGUGGAGUGCUUUCCUAGUAUGUGUGAGGUCCUGGGUUCGAUUCUCAGCACCA
Molecule: transfer RNA, 67 nt
Filed under: Marmota monax (woodchuck)
Lineage: Eukaryota; Metazoa; Chordata; Mammalia; Rodentia; Sciuridae
Description: tRNA.Thr
Source: RNAcentral